This 2531-nucleotide unclassified non-coding RNA is filed under the name Hevea brasiliensis (rubber tree). The record is from RNAcentral. Lineage: Eukaryota; Viridiplantae; Streptophyta; Magnoliopsida; Malpighiales; Euphorbiaceae.
UGGCGCUCCUCCGGCCCUGCUGUUCUAUCUGUCUCUCUCUCUGUCUCUCCCUCUGACUUUUUAUUUUCUUUUGUUCCUUUGUAACCAAAAAUUUCUUUCUUUUUGUUAAUCUUUUUAUUGUUCUUUACCAUCUUCUUCUUCUUCCUCUUCUUCUAGUCAUACAUAGAACCACAUAGAACGGUUUCAGUACCUCAAUUUGGCCGCUGAAACAUAGACGCACACAAACAGGGGAGGAAAUCAAUAUAUAACUUGUGGGAUUCUCAGGAACCUCCAUUUCUCAAUCUAAAGCUCAGUCCUGGUUUUUAUGUUACAUGGCCUUUUCAAAGUCAGUGCAGAGAUUAAGCUUUUUCUUGGUUGAAAAUUCCUGGUUAUUGUAAAUAUUGCUUUCCUGUACCAGGAGUUCAGUACCAAAAAGAAAAACUUGAAGGACUUCAUUACAGAACGAACACCAUGUCAUCUCUGCUAGCAAGAACAGGAAGACAUCGACAACGUUAUGAGAACAAUGUUCGCCUUGUUUCUGGGUAAUAUUCCUUCUUCUGUUCAUGUAAAUUCUUAGUGUUUUUGUUGUUUUUUAGUGAUGGGGGGAGGAGGGUUCCUGGGUACUUCCUAUUUGCUUCCUCUGUUAUCAAUUGUUUGGAUGAUUUCUUGUUUUCUUUUUGUGCCAUGCAUUUUUCUUGUUUUUCUCAGCUUCAGUAUUGAAUUUGGCCUAUGCUGUUGCCCCACUUGUUACGGGAAACUGUAAAUUUUUGUCGUAUUAUAGCCGUAACCUUAUCCCUCACUUCCUACUCCAUGUCCUCAAAAGAGAAUUUCAAAUUCUAUCGAGAUAACUAGUCCAUAUAUUUUUAGGCUUUAUAUCGUUGACUCUUUCUCUCAAUUUGGAUCUGGCUUGAUUUAUUUUGUCCUAUAUGUGGAAAUUGUUAACUAAAAAUCAUAUUAAAUUAGUUAUAACCAGUUGGGCUUCGCUUUGCCUGCCCUUCAUUAUCAGAGGCAGCAGGGUUUAGGUGGAUGAUUUGAAAGGUGAUUGUGAUAUGUGUUUCAUUCCCUUCAUGGAGUUAUCAGCCAACUCUCCUUCUAAAUAUUAACCAAGUUUGCCCAAAAAAAAAAAAGGUUUGUGGGUAAUUUUGAUAUUGUGGCCAUUUUCUCAAUCAAUGAAGGAUUUAUUGAGAUCUUCUCAAACAUGAAUUAUAAACAUGUUUUGUAUAGUAUCAAUCGCUGAAUUGAUGACCAUUAUAGUUUUAUCAUCUAAAAAUAUUACUACUCAAUUAUCAGAAAAAUAUUAAAUUAAUAGAAAAAAUUUUGAGCUUCUGCAGAAGAUAUAUCUUGUUUUUCACCGAUUUGAGAGGAUCUGAAUCCGAUAUUGUUUCAUAUGCUAGGAAACAAUAUCAAUGGUCUGCAAUUGGGAAAAUCCCCUUUAAAUUUGCACUAUAUACAAUUCAUGAUCUGCAAGUACCUGCUGCAUAUGAGAAAAUGGUUCAUGGGCUCCUGCUGACUUGUAUUUUGUGUGCAUCAGAUGUAUUCCUUACAGACUAAGAAAAGACGACGACGAAGAAAGCAAUGACUUAGAAAACAGGAUAGAAGUUCUCAUGGUUUCCUCGCCGAAUCGAACUGAUCUUGUGUUUCCUAAGGUAUGACCUGGUUUUUUUUUUCAUCAGGUUUUCAGAAUAGAAACUGUUAUUGGUUGCUGUUCUUUCGCCUGUUUAGUGCUUGCCCUUCUUUUUAUUCAGUUUCCUUCUUUUCUUCUGUUGUCAUUUGUCAGGGUGGAUGGGAAGAUGAUGAGACUGUGUACGAAGCAGCAUGUCGAGAAGCCAUAGAAGAAGCAGGAGUGAAAGGAAUACUCAGAGAAGUACCCCUUGGAGUUUGGCACUUCAAAAGCAAGAGUAGACAAGAUCCUUGCACCCUGGAAGGAGGCUGCAAAGGAGUCAUGUUUGCUUUAGAGGUGAUCGAGGAGCUCGAUAGUUGGCCUGAACAGGAAAAUCGCGAUAGGAAAUGGCUAAACAUAAAAGAUGCAUUUGAAUUCUGUCGAUAUGAAUGGAUGAGAGAAGCGCUGGAAAUUUUUCUAGGAGUCAUAGCAGAAGACAAGAAACCUGAGAUGGAGGAAGAGAUAGUGGAACUCUCUUCAGUGCCUGUGCCAGAAGUUGUUGCAGACUGUGCAAUACUAUCAUCAAACUGCUGUGCAAAGCCUGUGAACGGUCAGCACGAUGGUGUGAUUUCAUUCCCCUGGCAAAUUCCUCUCAAGGGCUUGCCUCUGACAUAAUGGAUGUUCUACCUCUAGCAAUGUGUGUAUGUAGUAGAUUCUAUAGGAUGAUUCCAUAGUGUCCAGUAUGUUGAUUUACUAGGAAUUUGAAGUGGGAUCAUCUCCUUCUUUUAAUUUCUGUUCAUUGUUGACAUUUUUCGUAUUCCUUUCUCAGGAAGAAUUUGCAGGUCUAACUUUGUCAUAUCCAUAUGACAGAAAGUUGUGUAUGACUUUGUACUGGCCCUGGGAAGAAGUGCAUAACCUUAAUUAGACUCUUGGCUCAACUUAUUCAUCUUCC